This 1017-nucleotide ribosomal RNA is filed under the name uncultured bacterium. RNAcentral describes it as "bacterial SSU rRNA". It matches the Rfam family "Bacterial small subunit ribosomal RNA", at positions 64 to 1076 of the family's 1533-position model. The record is from RNAcentral.
GAGCGGAUGACAGGAGCUUGCUCCUGAAUUCAGCGGCGGACGGGUGAGUAAUGCCUAGGAAUCUGCCUGGUAGUGGGGGACAACGUUUCGAAAGGAACGCUAAUACCGCAUACGUCCUACGGGAGAAAGCAGGGGACCUUCGGGCCUUGCGCUAUCAGAUGAGCCUAGGUCGGAUUAGCUAGUUGGUGAGGUAAUGGCUCACCAAGGCGACGAUCCGUAACUGGUCUGAGAGGAUGAUCAGUCACACUGGAACUGAGACACGGUCCAGACUCCUACGGGAGGCAGCAGUGGGGAAUAUUGGACAAUGGGCGAAAGCCUGAUCCAGCCAUGCCGCGUGUGUGAAGAAGGUCUUCGGAUUGUAAAGCACUUUAAGUUGGGAGGAAGGGUUGUAGAUUAAUACUCUGCAAUUUUGACGUUACCGACAGAAUAAGCACCGGCUAACUCUGUGCCAGCAGCCGCGGUAAUACAGAGGGUGCAAGCGUUAAUCGGAAUUACUGGGCGUAAAGCGCGCGUAGGUGGUUCGUUAAGUUGGAUGUGAAAUCCCCGGGCUUAACCUGGGAACUGCAUUUGAAACUGGCAGGCUUGAGUCUUGUAGAGGGGGGUAGAAUUCCAGGUGUAGCGGUGAAAUGCGUAGAGAUCUGGAGGAAUACCGGUGGCGAAGGCGGCCCCCUGGACAAAGACUGACGCUCAGGUGCGAAAGCGUGGGGAGCAAACAGGAUUAGAUACCCUGGUAGUCCACGCCGUAAACGAUGUCGACUUGGAGGUUGUUCCCUUGAGGAGUGGCUUCCGGAGCUAACGCGUUAAGUCGACCGCCUGGGGAGUACGGCCGCAAGGUUAAAACUCAAAUGAAUUGACGGGGGCCCGCACAAGCGGUGGAGCAUGUGGUUUAAUUCGAAGCAACGCGAAGAACCUUACCAGGCCUUGACAUCCAAUGAACUUUCCAGAGAUGGAUUGGUGCCUUCGGGAGCAUUGAGACAGGUGCUGCAUGGCUGUCGUCAGCUCGUGUUGUGAAAUGUU